UCGGGAAUUUUGGGCAAUGGGCGAAAGCCUGACCCAGCAACGCCGCGUGAAGGAUGAAGUAUUUCGGUAUGUAAACUUCGUAAGAAUGGGAAGAAUAAAUGACGGUACCAUUUGUAAGGUCCGGCUAACUACGUGCCAGCAGCCGCGGUAAUACGUAGGGACCAAGCGUUGUUCGGAUUUACUGGGCGUAAAGGGUGCGUAGGCGGCGCGUCAAGUCAGUUGUGAAAUCUUAAGGCUUAACCUUAAGCGGUCAACUGAUACUGUCGUGCUAGAGUGCAGAAGGGGCAAUCGGAAUUCUUGGUGUAGCGGUGAAAUGCGUAGAUAUCAAGAGGAACACCUGAGGUGAAGACGGGUUGCUGGGCUGACACUGACGCUGAGGCACGAAAGCUAGGGUAGCAAACGG
Molecule: ribosomal RNA, 403 nt
Filed under: uncultured bacterium
Lineage: Bacteria
Description: bacterial SSU rRNA
Rfam family: Bacterial small subunit ribosomal RNA
Source: RNAcentral